Amblyraja radiata (thorny skate) is the source of this 1490-nucleotide long non-coding RNA. RefSeq lists it as uncharacterized. Lineage: Eukaryota; Metazoa; Chordata; Chondrichthyes; Rajiformes; Rajidae. The transcript has 2 exons. The record is from RefSeq and is a predicted model, not a curated record.
AUGCCCAGUCAUGUUGCUCAAGCGUACACUAGGCAUUGUUGGAGCAAGAUAAUUGGACAAAGACAGAAUGAUUAGAGUGGGGGUGGAACAGAGAAUUAAAGUGACAGGUGACAGAAGAUCAGAAUGGUCUUGCUGACGUUCAGUUGCUUUGCAAUGUGUCACCCAAUCUGCAAAUAUUUUUUUCUGAUGUAGAGGAGACCCAUCAUGUGCACUAAACUGUAGUACUCUAAACUGGAAGAAGUGGGUGGUAAAUCUAUUGAAUUCUUUGAUACAGAAAACUGUGGAGGCACAGUCAGUUGAUAUAUUUAAGGCAGAGAUAGAUAAGGUUGCAGGAGCCAUUUAUAUUUAGGUUAGCUACUGUUGGCAUAUUAUAUUAUUUUGCCUCGAUAAAUCUUGCAGUAUUAUUUUGGACACGGGUCAUUAGAUGCACAGAGGGGAGUAUAUAUAUGGGCAUAGUCGACAGGGACUGGUGGACCAGGCAUAGGUAUUAAUUAACCAUAGGUGGAGGGCAUACAGUUCUCAAUCGACUGGAAAAUCUGUUCUAUUUGCUCUGUAUAAGAUCACUCCUACUUACCUGUGUAGUAAUGGCAAAGGAAAGUUGGACACUGGAAGAGUCGGAAAUUUGCCAUCACAUUUAAGUGGAAACCUCGAAAGCCAACGCGCAGGGAGAGUGAGUAUGUACAGCAUUAAGCUUUAUUGUAGAAGUUAUAUAUGAUGAGCUGUAUUGGAAAACGGCUACUAAAGUGGAGAAUUGAAAAGUAACCUCGAGAUAUCAGUUGUUUGAAAUAACAGCCGCAGACAUACGGCUUUCACGUUAAAGAGUCUCAAAGGGAUAGUGAACAAGUAUGCCCGUGGUCAAAGCUAAAGCUCAGUCACAAGAUGGCGAUGUUGGACAGGAUUCUGAAAAGGAAAUAAGAGUUACUAAACGCACUGACAAACGCUUGGAAUUGUUCAGGGAAAAGUGUCAGAAGACAAGAAACUCGAUAUGUAAACAAGAUAACAAGUUCAUUGAAAAGCUAAGAGAGCUCAUGAAAUCAGAGGAAAAUCCAAAUUAAGGACAAUCUAAUCUGGUUCAAUUAAUUAAGCUCUGUGAUGAAGUCAGAGAAAACCACAAGUUAUUGGUGAAGGUACCACUGCUAGUAAAGGAGCUUGAAAGGCAAAAUCAGUGGUUUUAACAAAGAAUGGAAACUUUUAAUGGUUUUAUACAAGAUGUAGAGGUGUGGUUAUCUGAAAUUGGACAGCAAACUACACACUCCUUAGCUGAAGGUGCCAUACAACAGAGUGUUGUAAACUCAGAAGAAAUUAGAUCCGAUGACAGUGUUUCAAAUGUCUCAAAACUAAAAUGAAGCCACAAAUCUAGUUCUUCAUCAUAUGCAUUUUUAACGGCCUCUGCUCAUAUUAAAGCUCAGGCACAUGAGGCUGCUCUCUUAGAACGGGUUGCCACCAUGAGCAAAAGCAUGAGCUUGAGGCACAAGAAGAACAAUUGGAAA